RNAcentral lists this ribosomal RNA (314 nucleotides) under uncultured Bacillota bacterium. RNAcentral describes it as "bacterial SSU rRNA". It matches the Rfam family "Bacterial small subunit ribosomal RNA", at positions 28 to 351 of the family's 1533-position model. The record is from RNAcentral. Lineage: Bacteria; Bacillati; Bacillota.
GAUGAACGCUGGCGGCGUGCCUAACACAUGCAAGUCGAGCGAUUUACUUCGGUAAAGAGCGGCGGACGGGUGAGUAACGCGUGGGUAACCUGCCCUGUACACACGGAUAACAUACCGAAAGGUAUGCUAAUACGGGAUGAUGUACUUUUGUCGCAUGGCAAAAGUAUCAAAGCUCCGGCGGUACAGGAUGGACCCGCGUCUGAUUAGCUAGUUGGUGAGGUAAUGGCUCACCAAGGCGACGAUGCGUAGCCGACCUGAGAGGGUGAUCGGCCACAUUGGGACUGAGACACGGCCCAGACUCCUACGGGAGGCUG